Molecule: long non-coding RNA, 377 nt
Organism: Lutra lutra (Eurasian river otter)
Lineage: Eukaryota; Metazoa; Chordata; Mammalia; Carnivora; Mustelidae
Exons: 3
Source: RefSeq, a predicted model, not a curated record
UGCAUAUUGCAUCCCAAAGUGUGGAGGCUGCAGGCAGAGGAAAGUGCACCCUGCAAACACUUCCCCUCACAGGGAUGUCAUAUCAGAACAUCAGGGAUGAUGAAACAGGAAGGAGGUUGGUGGACACCUGUUCCAUCUCCCUGACACAGGGAGUGAGCAUAAGGGCUCUCCAGGAGCAGGGACUGGGAACUGCCUGGGAAGGCUUCUGACACUGCUCAGGCCACUGUCCCUGGUGGUACCACACCAGACUGUGGUCCAGGACCUGGAGCCCAUGGAGGCCAAGUCCGAGGCUGCAGACAGGGGGAUGGUGCUUGGAGAGACCUCAGCAGGAGACCAGGAGCCAGCAGGGUAUCAGGCACCCACCCACGGAGAGCCUG